This is a long non-coding RNA of Tupaia belangeri chinensis (Chinese tree shrew), 1917 nucleotides long. RefSeq lists it as uncharacterized. The transcript is spliced from 3 exons. The record is from RefSeq and is a predicted model, not a curated record. NCBI's taxonomy places the organism in Eukaryota, Metazoa, Chordata, Mammalia, Scandentia, Tupaiidae.
AGUCCAAUGACAUAGCCAUUACCCUAACUGCUGUUCCCUUUUUCAUUGUAUUUUGAAUAUUUUUAUUAUGAUCUGACUUUCAUACUUUAGUGUUGGCUUAUAAUUCUUGCUCUCACUUUUCCUAUCUUUUAUGUGUUCAUAUCUUUCCCCCACUAAUGAGAAUGUAAAUAUAAACAUAAAUGGGAAUAGUAUAAUAACCCACCCACCUUUUUCUCAUUUUAAAAAUGAUAUAUAUUCACCGAUGAGAAAACACUCAUUUUAAUAAACUCUUAAAAUGUGCCACUGUGCUGGUUCCUUUCAUACGUAGCACAUUGAUCUUUAUGACAACCAUAGAGGUAUGCACUGUGCAGAUCAAAGCUUAGUCAGGCUAAGAACUUUACCUUGCAUUUUACACACAUGCUGAGUUAAAGAAGCAGAACUCGAACAUUGAGACUAUGUCUUUGCCUGCUUUUACCUCUGCACAAUGUGCCAUUUAGAAAAGCAGAAAUGUAGUAAGAAUAUAAAAAUACCCAUAAUUCCAUGACACCAUCUAGAGGCAACCAUUGCUAACGUUUUGGUACAUGACUUUGCAAUCUGUGGAAAGCAACCUCCGCAAAGGCUCCCCAUGAUCCUGCCUCGUGCUAGUCAUGCCCUUGUAUGUGGGCUGCAUUUAGUGACUCACUUCUAACUAAAGGAAUAACACAGAAAUGAUUGGAUGUAACUUCUGAGAUUAGGUAAUAAAAACACUGCAGCAUCCAUUUGGGGUCUCUGUCUCUCUCUGAAAAUAUUCACUCUAGGAGAAGCAAACUUACAUAUUUGAACAGACCGACUGAGAAACCCAUGUGGUAAGGACCAGAGGUGUCUGAUCAAGAGCUAACAAAUUCCCCAGGACCUUCCAACAGCCAAAUGGAUGAGUUUGGAAGCAGGUUCUUCCAGUUAAGGUUCAUGAUGACUUCACUAGUCAACACAUCGAUUCUGACUUUGUGAGAGAGGAAGAGCCAGAGGCACCCAGUUAAGCCUUGCCUGUACCUCGAGUCUAAAGAGCACAUGCCCUAUAGCAAAAAAUCUCCAAAGGAAAAAAAAUAUACUGACAAGCUGACCUUGUCCUAGCCAAGGAUGGAUAAAACAAACAAUAUUAUCACCAAAAACAAAAACAAAGGAGAAGCUAGCCUGAGGACAUUUCUCAGACUUUCACCUGCCAGAUUCAGGAUUAUAUUCUGACAAGAAGAGGUGCAAGUAUGAUAUUUCAAAAGCUGAAGAGAAGAAGGAUUUUUAUUCUCAGCUGGGCCAUCACAAAGGAGGUUAUCAGUAGAUGUGGAUGUUGCCAGUAGCUUCUUUUGGCCCAUCCUUUUGAGAAUGAUCUACUUGAGUGCAACUUCCUAGACUCCAGGUCUUCCAAGCUGCCUAAUCAACAUGAUUCCAAACCCAUCCCAUAGUUGUUUAAGUAUCUGACUCUGUAUUAUUUCUCCAUUCUGCUUGAAACAUGUAAAGAACCUCUUGUCUUCUUUUUCCUGAGUUAGGCAUCAUGUUCUUGACAAUCUUUUAGCACCUUGUUUUGGUUACUGCCUGAAUCAACAACAUAGAGACUGAGUUCGUAGACAGUGAAGUAAAGCAGAAACUUCCAGUUUCUUCAACUAUUGAGAGAAGCCAAAUGUGCUCUCUCUCUCUCUCUUUUUUAAGAAGAAGCUCUGAAGGCAAAUCGAGAGCUUAUGCAGCUGAUGCCUGCUCACUUCAGGAGCUUCUCAGCAGCACACGUAGCAUGAGCACAGCAAGUGGGGACUGAAACUAACGAAACCAACAGUAGUAAAGCCAGAACACUGAUGAGUCAUUUUAGUAUCACAGGGUUAACCACUCAGAUAUAUUGAUACUCUUAGUUUAGACUCAUUGGCCUUUUAAAAAUUACUAUAAUUUUUUUUAAUUGACAGAGGAUGCAUGCAU